RNAcentral lists this transfer RNA (549 nucleotides) under uncultured cyanobacterium. RNAcentral's name for it is "16S-23S ribosomal RNA intergenic spacer". The stretch from base 210 to 282 matches the Rfam family "tRNA". The record is from RNAcentral. Lineage: Bacteria; Bacillati; Cyanobacteriota.
CAGGGAGACAACAAAAUGUAAAUAUUAAUUUUGUCACCUUAGGUCGAUCGGUAUCUCAGAUUCUUAAUUUUUAAGAAUUUCAGUUUCUAAGUUUUUUCUAGGUCACACCCAUCACUUUUUCCUGGGCCAUUAGCUCAGGUGGUUAGAGCGCACCCCUGAUAAGGGUGAGGUCCCUGGUUCAAGUCCAGGAUGGCCCAUAUCUCUAUGUUGGGGGUAUAGCUCAGUUGGUAGAGCGCCUGCUUUGCAAGCAGGAUGUCAGCGGUUCGAGUCCGCUUACCUCCACUGAAUACCGCCUCUUACAUAUAUAAGGAGGGAAAUUUUUUUGAGUCGUGUCCUAUUUUGCUCUGAGCGAAUCUAGCUUCCUAUUUUUAUUUAGUAAAUAAGAUGCUGGACUCAUUGAAUUAUUAUUCAUUGUUUUCAGAGAACCUUGACAACUGCAUAGAUUAUUUUUGAAGACAAUAAGCAUCUUUAAUGAUGCAGAUUUAUUAUUUGUGCGAAUGCAUUAAAUAACAAUUCUAUUAAGCUGAUGCUUCAAUUAUUGAAGUUAUU